GUGGGGAAUAUUGGACAAUGGGGGGAACCCUGAUCCAGCCAUGCCGCGUGUGUGAAGAAGGCCUUUUGGUUGUAAAGCACUUUAAGCGAGGAGGAGGCUACCGAGAUUAAUACUCUUGGAUAGUGGACGUUACUCGCAGAAUAAGCACCGGCUAACUCUGUGCCAGCAGCCGCGGUAAUACAGAGGGUGCAAGCGUUAAUCGGAUUUACUGGGCGUAAAGCGCGCGUAGGUGGCCAAUUAAGUCAAAUGUGAAAUCCCCGAGCUUAACUUGUGAAUUGCAUUCGAUACUGGUUGGCUAGAGUAUGGGAGAGGAUGGUAGAAUUCCAGGUGUAGCGGUGAAAUGCGUAGAGAUCUGGAGGAAUACCGAUGGCGAAGGCAGCCAUCUGGCCUAAUACUGACACUGAGGUGCGAAAGCAUGGGGAGCAAACAGGAUUAGAUACCCCUGUAGUCC
This 451-nucleotide ribosomal RNA is filed under the name uncultured bacterium. Its description in RNAcentral is "partial 16S ribosomal RNA". It matches the Rfam family "Bacterial small subunit ribosomal RNA", at positions 354 to 796 of the family's 1533-position model. The record is from RNAcentral.